GGAAAAGUCUCAGAGAAAGGUUGGGAGGUUGUGGAGUAUUAUUCGAUUGGCUUAUGAGAUGGCUGGACAACAGUCUCCUGAGAGGAUUUCGGCUCUCCUUGAGCUUUAUUGAAAUAAAAGAAGUUGUACAAAACGAAGAGAG
This is a long non-coding RNA of Bombina bombina (fire-bellied toad), 142 nucleotides long. RefSeq lists it as uncharacterized. The transcript is spliced from 3 exons. The record is from RefSeq and is a predicted model, not a curated record. Lineage: Eukaryota; Metazoa; Chordata; Amphibia; Anura; Bombinatoridae.